GGUUUCUACAAAUGUGAGGUUUGUAGCAUUUUUGGCUAAAUCCUAUCGGUCUUGAAUCUGGUUGCAAGAUUUUCACGGGAAUUCUCUCAACUUGCAAAUACUUUUGUAACUUUGAUAGAGAAUUGUGUAGGUUAAGACGAUAUACAUGGCAUGAUGCCCAUUUGUAUCUGAACAUGGAAUUUCUACUCAUAAUUUUCGAUGAUAUUAAGAGACGUUUUACCCCUAAAAAAAAAAAGAAAAACAAAAAAACCCAAAACUUUCCGACAAAAUUGCCACACAACAAGCAUUUGUAG
Molecule: long non-coding RNA, 293 nt
Filed under: Helianthus annuus (common sunflower)
Lineage: Eukaryota; Viridiplantae; Streptophyta; Magnoliopsida; Asterales; Asteraceae
Description: hypothetical non coding rna
Source: RNAcentral